RNAcentral lists this non-coding RNA (103 nucleotides) under Crenobacter luteus. RNAcentral describes it as "Glycine sequence". It matches the Rfam family "Glycine riboswitch aptamer". From Rfam's summary of the family: This family represents the bacterial glycine riboswitch. Glycine riboswitches usually consist of two metabolite-binding aptamers domains with similar structures in tandem. The aptamers cooperatively bind glycine to regulate the expression of downstream genes. The record is from Rfam by way of RNAcentral. Lineage: Bacteria; Pseudomonadati; Pseudomonadota; Betaproteobacteria; Neisseriales; Neisseriaceae.
CGGCAUCAUGCAGGAGAGAGCAGCGGUCUUCCCCAGACUCCCGCUGCCGCCGAAGGCGCAAGCGCACCCGCAAUCGCUCAGGCAAAAGGACUGCAUGAGCGGA